UUCACGGAGAGUUUGAUCCUGGCUCAGGACGAACGCUGGCGGCGUGCUUAACACAUGCAAGUCGAACGAUGAAGCCGCUUCGGUGGUGGAUUAGUGGCGAACGGGUGAGUAACACGUGGGCAAUCUGCCCUGCACUCUGGGACAAGCCCUGGAAACGGGGUCUAAUACCGGAUAUUACCUGGUGAGGCAUCUUACUGGGUGGAAAGCUCCGGCG
Molecule: ribosomal RNA, 214 nt
Filed under: Streptomyces lonegramiae
Lineage: Bacteria; Bacillati; Actinomycetota; Actinomycetes; Kitasatosporales; Streptomycetaceae
Description: Streptomyces sp. DSM 41529 partial 16S ribosomal RNA
Rfam family: Bacterial small subunit ribosomal RNA
Source: RNAcentral